RNAcentral lists this ribosomal RNA (433 nucleotides) under uncultured bacterium. RNAcentral's name for it is "partial 16S ribosomal RNA". It matches the Rfam family "Bacterial small subunit ribosomal RNA", at positions 28 to 507 of the family's 1533-position model. The record is from RNAcentral.
AACGAACGCUGGCGGCAGGCCUAACACAUGCAAGUCGAGCGGAAGCUUCGGGGUUGGCGGCGGACGGGGGAGUAACGCGUGGGAACGUGCACGUAGCUUCGGGAUAGCACUGGGAAACUGGGGGUAAUACCGGGUAAGCCACGCUGGGAAAAGAUUCAACGUCGAGGGUUAGGCCCGCGUUGGUCUAGGUAGGUGGGGGGGGAAUGGCCUACCAAGCCGUCGUUCCCUAGCGGGGUUGAGAGGCUGAUACGCCACUCUGGGGCUGGGACACGGGCCAGACUCCUGCGGGAGGCAGCCGUGGGGAAUCCUAGCCAAUGGGGGAAACCCUGAUCUAGCCAUGCCGCGUGAGCGAUUAAGGCCUUAGGGUUGUAAAGCUCUUUCACCGCGGAAGAUAAUGACGGUACCCGGAGAAGAAGCCCCGGCUAACUCCGUG